RNAcentral lists this long non-coding RNA (206 nucleotides) under Elaeis guineensis (African oil palm). RNAcentral describes it as "long non-coding RNA (EGUI_LNC000717)". Lineage: Eukaryota; Viridiplantae; Streptophyta; Magnoliopsida; Arecales; Arecaceae. The record is from RNAcentral.
GUUAUGAUGUUGCAAAUGAUGAUUAAAAUUGACCAGGUCGAUUAAUAUAUACAAGAAGACAGAAACUUAGCUCAUUUAUUAACUCGGAAAAUGAAGAUGAUUAAGUUGGAGAUAAAGUAGAAUCGUUAACUACAAUGACAGUCAUUUUAGAAACUUGAAAACCAUAAAAAGGGUAAAGAUUUUUAUUUAUUUUUUCAUUGGCAGAG